Molecule: non-coding RNA, 80 nt
Filed under: Suid alphaherpesvirus 1
Lineage: Duplodnaviria; Heunggongvirae; Peploviricota; Herviviricetes; Herpesvirales; Orthoherpesviridae
Source: RNAcentral
CCCUGUUCCCCAUCCUUCCACCCAUGCAUUCAUCCGUGCGGUGGUGGGGAUGAGUGGAUGGAUGGAGGCGAGGGACGCGG